GAACGCACAUUGCGCCCGCUGGUACUCCGGCGGGCAUGCCUGUUCGAGCGUCACUAUAACCAAUCAAGCUCUGCUUGGCCUUGGGGCCCGCUGUUCAGGCGGCCCUUAAAAUCAGUGGCGGUGCCGUCUGGCUCUAAGCGUAGUAAUUCUUCUCGCUAUAGGGUUUAGGCGUCCACCCGUCAGAACCUAAAUUUUUCAAGGUUGACCUCGGAUCAGGUAGGGAUACCCGCUGAACUUAA
RNAcentral lists this unclassified non-coding RNA (239 nucleotides) under Mortierella sp. Its description in RNAcentral is "partial contains 5.8S ribosomal RNA, internal transcribed spacer 2, and large subunit ribosomal RNA". The stretch from base 1 to 53 matches the Rfam family "5.8S ribosomal RNA", at positions 102 to 154 of the family's 154-position model. The record is from RNAcentral. Lineage: Eukaryota; Fungi; Mortierellomycota; Mortierellomycetes; Mortierellales; Mortierellaceae.